This 508-nucleotide ribosomal RNA is filed under the name uncultured bacterium. RNAcentral's name for it is "partial 16S ribosomal RNA". It matches the Rfam family "Bacterial small subunit ribosomal RNA", at positions 30 to 523 of the family's 1533-position model. The record is from RNAcentral.
AUUGAACGCUGGCGGCAUGCCUUACACAUGCAAGUCGAACGGCAGCGGGGGAGAAGCUUGCUUUUCCUGCCGGCGAGUGGCGAACGGGUGAGUAAUACAUCGGAACGUGCCCUGUAGUGGGGGAUAACUAGUCGAAAGAUUAGCUAAUACCGCAUACGACCUGAGGGUGAAAGUGGGGGACCGCAAGGCCCCAUGCUAUAGGAGCGGCCGAUGUCUGAUUAGCUAGUUGGUGGGGUAAAGGCCUACCAAGGCGACGAUCAGUAGCUGGUCUGGGCGGACUAUCAGCCAAACUGGGAAGGAGACACGGCCCAGCCUCCUACGGGAGGAAGCAGUGGGGAAUUUUGGACAAUGGGCGAAAGCCUGAUCCAGCAAUGCCGCGGGUGUGAAGAAGGCCUUCGGGUUGUAAAGCACUUUUGUCCGGAAAGAAAUGGCUCUGGUUAAUACCUGGGGUCGAUGACGGUACCGGAAGAAUAAGGACCGGCUAACUACGUGCCAGCCGCCGCCGUAA